Triticum aestivum (bread wheat) is the source of this 1357-nucleotide long non-coding RNA. RefSeq lists it as uncharacterized. The transcript is spliced from 4 exons. NCBI's taxonomy places the organism in Eukaryota, Viridiplantae, Streptophyta, Magnoliopsida, Poales, Poaceae. The record is from RefSeq and is a predicted model, not a curated record.
UUCGCGAGAAAAUACCCCAGCCCUGAAUCAAGCGACCGCGCCUCCCCGCCUCCUCCGCCGUGCCGUCCUCCCGGCACCGUGGCCUGCCCCCUCUCUGCCGCGCCCUCCUCCCCCGCACCGUCCAAGUCCUCCGUGCGCGGUUCGCCCACGCCGAGGCCCAGGCCGCCGCGCUCCGUGCCCGCGCCGGCCGGCCGGCUCGAGUGCACGCCGGAGGAGAGGAGGUCGGCUGGAGGGGAGAGACCAACGUCGUGGUGGUCUCACCGGCGAGCGACGGGAGGAGGGCGGAGAUGAUGCGUAGGAGGGCGAGGCGGCUGUGUGCAGGAGGCUUCCCGACGGAUAGGGGAGACGGCGCGAAGCAUCUUCGACGGCAUGGGCCGGGGCGCCGUGCUUCCUCAGAUUCGCGUUUUGAGUGUGUGUCCAGUUUGUCGCUUCCCUCGACGUCGACGGCUCCAUGAUCAGUCGUGUUCUCUUCCUACUAAGCCAUGAUGAGAUAUCACCGAGUUCGCCGGCGGAAGAAGAACAUCUCUCGAGCCGUCCAAUGUUUCCUGCGGCGGCUACACCAGAGACACAGUUCUUAUCAAGUGGGUCUGAAGGAGUUGGGCAGUGGGUGGUUCCCAUCACACUCUGCUGUUGUUCAUACUUGGUUCAGCGAAAGUUCUUUUUCCGUGGAAAACCGGAGGAUUUCAGUUUGUUAGUGCUCGUAGAAUGUCAAAAGAAAGAUGGCAUAAGGAGGUUUAACCAAGAUGUCCUUUUGUUGGUUUUCCUGUGUAAUUAGCACUUACAAAUAUGGAGUACAGGUAGGAGAAUGCUACGGUUCUGCCUGCAUCUGAUGGGUGACGUGGCUCAGCCCAGCGGCUCUACAGAACCAUCAGAUAACCUGGGACGAUGAUGCCUCUUUGCUAGAGAAGAUUGUAGCUUAUGAAGUUUGUGUCUGACUCGCCAUUAGAUCGUUCAAUAUGCUAUCUUGUGGUUUAAUUGAUGAUUCCUUCUUCUUAGUUUUCAGGCUGUGUUUACAAUCAGAAAUCUGAUAGACUGGAGAGAAGGCUAGGUGUUUGCCACAUUGUUUCGGCUACUUCCAUCUGGCGAUUCCAGAUUUAGGGGAUACAAUGUCGGAUUACAUUAUGUGGAUGUAUUGAAGGCAAAAAUUCUUGUGGUGGAGGUAUUACGUGCUACCACUUUAUCAGUACAUAACCAACUUCCAUUCUUUAUAAAUAGCAACAAGCAGUUUUCAUCUCCAAGCAUAUUCAAAAGCGAAAACAAUUCUUUGUAUUGUUUAUCAAAACUGUAUGAUGAGAUAGUUCAGAGUGUUGGGCUAAAAUUGGAGAACACAAGUUUAUCAGAAACAUUAAGAAUUUGU